This 492-nucleotide ribosomal RNA is filed under the name uncultured bacterium. RNAcentral's name for it is "partial 16S ribosomal RNA". It matches the Rfam family "Bacterial small subunit ribosomal RNA", at positions 29 to 507 of the family's 1533-position model. The record is from RNAcentral.
AGUGAACGCUGGCGGUAGGCCUAACACAUGCAAGUCGAACGGCAGCACAGUAAUAGCUUGCUCUUACGGGUGGCGAGUGGCGGACGGGUGAGGAAUACAUCGGAAUCUACUUUUUCGUGGGGGAUAACGUAGGGAAACUUACGCUAAUACCGCAUACGACCUACGGGUGAAAGCAGGGGAUCUUCGGACCUUGCGCGAUUGAAUGAGCCGAUGUCGGAUUAGUUGGUUGGCGGGGUAAAGGCCCACCAAGGCGACGAUCCGUAGCUGGUCUGAGAGGAUGAUCGGCCACACGGGAACUGAGACACGGUCCAGACUCCUACGGGAGGCAGCAGUGGGGAAUAGUGGACAGUGGGCGCAAGCCUGAUCCAGCCAUACCGAGUGUGUGAAGAAGGCCUUCGGGGUGUGAAGACCUCUUGUGGGGAAAGAACAGCAGCAGGUUAAGACGACGCUGUUCUGACGGUACUGAAUGAAUAAGCACCGGCUAACUUCGUG